Molecule: transfer RNA, 90 nt
Filed under: Wolfiporia cocos MD-104 SS10
Lineage: Eukaryota; Fungi; Basidiomycota; Agaricomycetes; Polyporales; Phaeolaceae
Description: Wolfiporia cocos (strain MD-104) (brown rot fungus) tRNA
Rfam family: tRNA
About the family: Transfer RNA (tRNA) molecules are approximately 80 nucleotides in length. Their secondary structure includes four short double-helical elements and three loops (D, anti-codon, and T loops).
Source: Rfam by way of RNAcentral
GGCUUUGUAGUGUAGUGGUUAUCACUUGAGAUUCUGAUCAAUAAAGUCAUGUGACUUCUCAAAACCCAGGUUCGAGUCCUGGCAAGGCCU